This is a long non-coding RNA of Gallus gallus (chicken), 2143 nucleotides long. Lineage: Eukaryota; Metazoa; Chordata; Aves; Galliformes; Phasianidae. The record is from Ensembl.
AGGGAGUAUUGGUACCGGGCAGAGGCUGCGGUCCCACCUCCAAUGCCUCGGGGGUGGCUGCAGCCGCCGGUCCGGGCACAGCGGCCACACGGUGUCACCCGCGUCCCACCGCCGGGCUCCGACAGGGCAGAGCAGCGAUGCUCUCCGGUGAGCGCUCCGGAACAAGGAAGCGCUGCCGGCCUGGAAUCGCAACCCCUUUUUCACGGCGUUUUUGAGAGCUAGGAUGCUGCCAAGUUUUUCCACCUGUUCUUUCCUUCCCCAUCCAUGAGAAAGUCUCCCAGGAGAGGAAUUACCACGGUCCAGUGCAGCCACAAGCAGGUUAAAAAGAAGGAUCCCAGUCCUGCUGCUGAUGGGUCUCCAGACAGCUUGGGUGUAACUUUCCACUUGGAUGUUCACAGUGUUUGGGAUACAGGAAGGGAAUCUGACUCAUAAAGAAACAUAAAGUGCAAUUGAGUUCCCACUUACUUCAGUGGAAGAAUUGAUGUGCCCAAGGUCAGAGAGAAAGUCGAUAGCGGAGCUGGGGAAAAGAAGCAGGAGUUUUGAAGCCAGUGCCUUUCAUGCAGCCACCAGACAGCCCUCCCUUUGCUGAGCGAUCCAAGCCCAAGGCCAAAUAAAUCUCCAGCGUAAUCCCAAUUGUCAGGAGGCAUGUGGUCUCCUGAGGCACCAGACGUGUGUGAGAACAUGGAGAUGAGAGCUUUGAUGUGCCUUUGAGAGAACACUGGAAGAAACAGAGCAGAUACGGGAACUUCUCCAAUGGGAUGAACAGCUCUGAGAAGCAGCCUGGAGGAUACAUACAUGAUGGACCAUGCACUCCUGAGCCUGGCACAGCCUUCGGGGAGGGAGAUGCUCUGGCAAUGGGGAUGCAGCCUCUGACACCACCUAAAACAUGGUGUGUCAGCUGCUUCGUAACACAGCUCUUCUUGUCCUCUAUGCAGAUCUGCUUUCCUGCAAAGAGAACAAAGACAUCGUUUGUCCAGAGAAAGGUUUCUUCCAUCAAGCUCAGACACAUCCUGAAAGAAGUGCAUGAAGACUUGCAUGAGUUGGUGAUUGUGGAGACACUAAAAAGGUGAUGCUCACCAUGUCCUCUCCUGUUGGAAGCAGUAGCCUCAAAAUCCGCCCCCUCACCACCAUCCAAAGCCUCAAGCUAAGUAAGAGCAAUGCCAGGGCAGAUGGCUGCACAGCAGGGCUCUCAGCGUCACUGCUCACUCUUCCCCUACAUGCCCUGUCCUGCUCAGCAGUUUUCCCAUGAACUUAUCUGAGCGGCACUCUUUGCUUUGUGCUAUGAAAAUCAAAGAUGAGGUGUCCUGAAUGAAAAGCUCACAGUUACCACGAGGUCUGCCUCUCAAUGCGCUGGGAAUAGAAAUGUGGCAAUCAGACUUUGGGAUGAAAUCAUAUUGGACAUGCUGGCUUAAUCUCUAAAGUAUGAAAUUGUAAGGAAGGAAUUACAGCUAAAAAACAUUUCACAUUUUAGAAAGCUUCUCUGACCCAUGCUGGAUCAGGAGAGAGAAGGAAAAGAGGGUAAAAAAAAAAAAAAACCAACAACCCCAAACCUGUGGAAUUCAAAUGACUGUAGCCAUUUGGGUUAGAAAAAAUCCAUCAUCAAAUAAACAGACUCCUGCACUUGUACUGUGAUGCACGACUGUGUUUGUAAAGGAAAAGGCUGACUUUGGCUUAUUUCAAUUCUCAGGAUCAGGUUAUUUGCUAUUUGCAAAUACUUGGGUGUUAGCUUCAUGUAUCUUAGCCCAGUUCAUCUCACAAUCGUGUUUAUGUUAGAUAUGGUACAGUACUGAGCUAGCUGCUCUUCCAGUACACCUUUAUUUAGCUGGGCCAUCAGAGAGAAGAAACAAUAGCCCAUAGAUAGCCAGCUGCAGAAGAUGAAUUAUAAGCAGAAAAAUAAUCAUCAAGCAAUUUGUGGGUUCCUUGCUGGAAGACAUUUGCAAUUCAAUGAAUAUUAUCUAAUGUACAUCCAAAACCAGAGACUCUCGCUCUUCUAUUCCAUGAGUUGCAAAAAACAGCAACAACAACAAAAAACAACCAAACACCCAAAUUUUAGAAAACUGUAUUAUUCACGUCAUCAUAAAGAGAAAGGAGGACUGGGACAACAGUGGCGAUGAGUACUGCCACACUCGAUGGCACACCUUGA